GCCCGCUCAAGAACUCAAAGGAAUUGGACGGGGCCCGCACAAGCGGUGGAGUAUGUGGUUUAAUCGAUGCAACGCGAAGAACCUUACCUGGUCUUGACAUCCCGGAGACCCUUAAGGAAACGUAGGGGGUGCCUUCCAUCUGGAAGAAUCUGGAGACAGGUGCUGCAUGGCUGUCGUCAGCUCGUGUCGUGAGAUGGUUGGGUUAACGUCCCGCAACGAGCGCCAACCCUUGCCUUUAGUUGCCAGCAGUUCGGCUGGGCACUCUAAAGGGACUGCCGGUGUUAAACCGGAGGAAGGUGGGGAUGACGUCAAGUCCUCAUGGCCUUUAUGACCAGGGCUACACACGUACUACAAUGGCCGAUACAAAGGGCAGCGACACUGCGAGGUGAAGCCAAUCCCGUAAAAUCGGUCUCAGUCCGGAUUGGAGUCUGCAACUCGACUCCAUGAAGUUGGAAUCGCUAGUAAUCGUGGAUCAGCAUGCCACGGUGAAUACGUUCCCGGGCCUU
This 506-nucleotide ribosomal RNA is filed under the name uncultured Desulfobulbus sp. RNAcentral's name for it is "bacterial SSU rRNA". It matches the Rfam family "Bacterial small subunit ribosomal RNA", at positions 887 to 1382 of the family's 1533-position model. Lineage: Bacteria; Pseudomonadati; Thermodesulfobacteriota; Desulfobulbia; Desulfobulbales; Desulfobulbaceae. The record is from RNAcentral.